Panthera uncia (snow leopard) is the source of this 790-nucleotide long non-coding RNA. RefSeq lists it as uncharacterized. NCBI's taxonomy places the organism in Eukaryota, Metazoa, Chordata, Mammalia, Carnivora, Felidae. The transcript is spliced from 3 exons. The record is from RefSeq and is a predicted model, not a curated record.
CACAGUGCUCCACCCUCAUUGAUGUCCCAAAUGGCAUCUAGCAGAAGAAAGGUCAGAAACAAAAAACUUCAAGUUCGAAAGAUUUAAAGGCAGGUUAUCAGGAGUUGGACUGGAGCCCCAAACCAUGCAGGCUGUAAGCCAUCUGGACAUGGACAGGGCUGGGAAAUACCAUUUUGCAACAGCUAUAGCCUGAGCAGCCACAUGGAUGAGGACAUAGAUGGUCAAUGCCACUUAACAACCACUUCUUUUUUACCUGGGGGUCAAGAAAAGGACAAGAGAAAUGUUUUACAGUGUCCACUUUUGUCCAAAAUGGGAGUUUCUAAACAGGGAAAUGUCUAGGGAAGUAAGUGAGUUUUGAGAAGCUUGGCAAUAAAGUAACAGAAUGAGAAUACUGGGGGAAGGACAUGAGCAACUAAAAGAAAAGAAGAUGAAGAGGAAGAGGAAGAAGAAGGAGAAGAAGAGGAAGAAGCAGAAGAAGAAAAGGGAUGGGAAGGGGAGGGGAAGGAAGGGGAGGGGAGGGAGGAAUGAAGGGAGGAAGGAGGAAGGAAGGGAGGAAGAAAGGAAGGAAGGAAAGGAAGAGAGUGCUCAGAUAUAUCAAGAAGGUUGAAGUUUUGCCUAUAAUCUAAUGGAGAUUGAGUAAAGAGUCACUUGAAGGCUAUGCUUACUGAAAUGAUAGUCUUGUCAGUAAUGAAAAAGAUGUAUCUGGGUUGGUUAGAUGGGGUGUGGUUAAAGGAUUAAACUAAUUUUUUUAGUAAUGUCUCACUUUACUAAUCCUAAUUGUAGAGACUAA